Meleagris gallopavo (turkey) is the source of this 842-nucleotide non-coding RNA. Lineage: Eukaryota; Metazoa; Chordata; Aves; Galliformes; Phasianidae. The record is from RefSeq and is a predicted model, not a curated record.
UCCACCCUUUCCACACCUCAUUUAAGGGUUGGCGGUGGAGGUGAGGGUAUCUUGUUGGAGAUCUCUGCUUAUCUGAGGUCUUCUGAGGGUGGGACAACAAACUGGAAGGGAAGGCCCUUGGUGGGCACUGAAGAGGAAUGGAAUGAAAAAUGACCAGGAUUCACUCAUAGGAAAGUGAUAUUAUGAUCAUUUCCAUGGCAACAGACUGAUGUCCAAAGUAUGGGAUCAUGACUUCAGUGUGGGAUCAAGGAAGGGGAGUUAAAGUCCUUAUUCGAAUACGCACUUUGUCAAUAAGAAAAGAAACUCAUGAAAAAUCCAUUAAUUUUAUUACGUGUUUCCUUCUCUAAUUGAACGCAAGUACAAAUAAAAAGUACUUCUUUUUUUUUAAAGAGGCUGUUUAUUUUUGCUUGUUAAUACUGAUCAAUAAAACCUUGGCUUUAAAGAAAACGUGAGCAAAAGAAUUCAAGCUAUCAUAUACAUAUAUAAAGCCUUAUGUAAAAUCCUGAUUAUAUACAUAUUUUUUUUAAACCAAGGAGUGUUUUCUUGUAACAGCAGACCUAUUAUUAUGAUUAUGAAAGUGGACCUUUCCCUGAAAAGAUUACCUUUGUGCAUUUAUUAUGUCCAUAAGGAAGCUCCUGAUCACCACAGCUGUAGUUGUUUUACAUUAGACUCUCUUUGUCAUGAUGUCUCUCUCUUAAGAUAUUUGUUCUGCCUCCAGUUAGCCACACCAGGGAAAAAGAAACCCUGGCCCAGUGGCCUGUUCUGCAAAACCUGAUAUGUGUUUGGCAGAGGUGACUACCUUCUGACCUACUAGGGAAUAUCCCAAACCCACCAGAUAUUUU